CCGUGCCGCAUCAUCCUGCGCCGCUCCGCCGCGAGCCCCCGACCUUGUCUCCCGCCUCCUCUGCCGCUCCACUCGCUCCGCUACCUCCUCCCCAGCCUCUCCAUCCGCUCGUCGCCGAGCUUCAGUAUCGCCGACGGCCCCGGCCGCCGCCUCUGCCUCUGGCUCCUCCACGGCGUCGAUCCAUGCCCCUCCGCGACCGCGACCACCGACAGGCGGCGGCGGUCAGGAGAGGCCGGAGGAAGCCGCAUAGGAAGAGUUAGAGGCUACAAAAAGAGGGCACAGCACUAAACCUACCUGUUAACCUCCAACACAGGAACAGGUUGUGGUUCGUUACCUCACGGGCUGGGCCUAAAGUCAACGGACGAUAUUCUUCCUCCCCAGGAGCCGGUUUUAGAGGUAGUCCAACGCAGGAACAUGGUAUUCGAGGUAGUUUCGGGCAACGUUAAAAACUGCUUUGCAGGUUACAGCAACGGCUCAAGUGGCCUCCUUCUUCGCGACUCAAGCGGCCUCCUUGUUCUUGUAGGCAGGUAGGCAGGUUACAGCGGACUGAGCCGAUGUGAUCUCUAUUGUGACACCUCAUCUCGGUAUACAACGACCACUGACUUUAACCAAGACAGCAUUAAGCGACUAACGAAGUCAAAUAGUCAGAUCGAUUCUCAAACAAAAGACGCUUACCAAAUCGUACCGACUCACUAUACACAAAUGAAGUGAUUAAGUAUUCUUAAUAAAAGAGAACGGUCGAAGUCGACGUCGUCGUAGAACGGACGUAGUAUAUAAAACAUAAUACAAUAACACCCAUACGACUAAGACUUAAAGAGGCAUAACGGCUGAAGCGGCCUUAAUGCAGGCGGACACAUCGGUUCCAACUCUUGACUACUACCUGCUGCAUUGUCGACAAUUUCUCCUCUAAUUUCCUGCCUUCUACCGUCGUCUCCUCCUCGGACUUCGACUUUUACCUACUGUUGUGAAUUAGCUAGUAACAACUCCUAAAACUUUGGGCUGGAAGUAUUUCUUUCGUUUUACAAGACUUAGCCCACAAAACUUUACCUCCAAAUUGAAAUAAACAUUCCGGGCGAGCCAUGCAGGUGGGACUCCGUAGCGGUAGAUGUACCACCUUCUCCAAGCAGUGACACCUGUUGUAGUCGCCGCUGCAACAAAGGUUAUGCGUCGUUCACGCGCUGAAGCCACUCCCACGUGUUCCAAAGACGUACAGGGAGUUCAAGGACGGGGGUAUGGCAGCGAGAGCGGUCAGUGUCGGCCUUCGAACCUUGGUGCCGGACGAGACUUGCUCAGAGGUAGACUACAUACCAUGAAACGGUUCCAGUUCCUCAUCGAAGGGCGUUUUUUUUUUUUCCAAGUUCCUCAUCGUGGUCGUGGAGACUUCGUCGUCGUUUUCCUAGUUUUGGUGUAAGAAGUCGUAGGAUGAGCCGUUUUUUUCCCGCUUUUCUGACUGAAGGUCUUUUUUUUGUACUUCUUAAGAAGUUCGUGGUCUGACUCUGUCUAAGGAACUCUUCACGCGAACUAUUAUAGUCCACCAGUCCAAGAAAAGAUUCAACUCCAUCCCAACGGAGAAGUUAGACACUAUAAGUUUACUCUCCCUUUACUUAUAUAUCUCCUUAUAUUAAUCUUAUGUAAUAAUCGUUGGAGGUUUAAAAAUAGUACAGAGUACCGGUCAAGUUAUGAAGAAAGAACUACGUUGCCGACUAUAUACCAACAAAAGGUACCGAUACAAUCAUUUGAAAAUACGUUUAAAUAUAAUAAGAGAAUAAGUGAUUACUAAUAUGACCCUGCGAG
Molecule: ribosomal RNA, 1794 nt
Filed under: Triticum aestivum (bread wheat)
Lineage: Eukaryota; Viridiplantae; Streptophyta; Magnoliopsida; Poales; Poaceae
Description: partial small subunit ribosomal RNA
Source: RNAcentral